UUACGGCCAUAUCACAUUGAAACAGCGGCUCUCAUAUGAUUACCGAAUUUAAGCAACGUUGAACUUGGUCAGUACCGAAUUGGGUGACCGCUUGGGAAUACCAAGUGCUGUAAG
Molecule: non-coding RNA, 114 nt
Organism: Acanthosepion pharaonis
Lineage: Eukaryota; Metazoa; Mollusca; Cephalopoda; Sepiida; Sepiidae
Source: the annotation of a GenBank genome assembly